This 103-nucleotide microRNA precursor is filed under the name Marmota monax (woodchuck). Lineage: Eukaryota; Metazoa; Chordata; Mammalia; Rodentia; Sciuridae. The record is from RNAcentral.
AAUGGAAUAGCUGGGCCAAAUGGUGGUUCUAUCUCCAGUUUUCCAAGGAACCUCCAUACUGCUUUCUAUAUUGGCUACACUAAUUUGCAGUCCCACAAGCAAU